Molecule: long non-coding RNA, 1052 nt
Organism: Sus scrofa (pig)
Lineage: Eukaryota; Metazoa; Chordata; Mammalia; Artiodactyla; Suidae
Source: RefSeq, a predicted model, not a curated record
GUGCUUCGGUGUCUUCUCGGUGGAGCUGUCCCACUCCAUCUGGAAAUGUUCUCUCCCAUCUUCGCCCUCCCAGUCCCUCAUGUGAUGGAGCUCCUGUUUCUCACACAGAGGACAAUGAGUGACAGCCUUCCCUGCUGCAGGGAGCAAUGAAAACUCGCAGCCCCGGGCCAGAGUCCACUGGUUGCCACCAUCUGCCUUUGGGAGGGAUUUUCCAUCGUGGGCACAGCGUUGCAAGAGGAUCCAGGAACUGUUUGUCACUGGGAGGCGUUGAUGCUGGCAACGAUGCAGAGCUUGCCAGGUCCAGGAUGGUGUCUUACUCACUUCCAUCCCUGGAAAUGUCCCCGGUGCCAGCACGGGGCCGGAGCAUGGAAGGAGCCUAGUCAACGAUGCCUGUAAAUGUAUUGAUGUCAGAAGGCUGGUGAAGACGCACGGAAGGACAGCUCCGGGUUUUGCAUAAGGCACCUCAAAUGUGCAAAAAUAAAUGGGGGAGCCAGUGAAGCUGAACGCUGAGCUGGGGAUUUCAGAGCCCUCACUGAGGUUCUCUAACACCAGUUUCUGCAAAGGACACCCCUGUCCUCACCUAACAUGUCCUGCGGCUUCCCAUCUUCUCCCCCUGGGUCCUUCCCAACCUCCCCCAGCCUAUCUCCCUUUCUCAUGGAUUCUCUGACUCUGCCAGGGUGAAAAUGGCUGCAAGGAACUUUCACUUCUGCUCAAACAAGAAACCCAAGAGCAAGGUCAUUUCCUUGUUCUUUUCUGAGUGGCUGCUGGAUCCAUUUUUUUUUGACUUGUCUGUUGGGGGUGGACAGAAAGGUAAAGUUUCUUUUUCCUCAGAUCAUAUGAAAGCCAGUUUACCUGAACUGCCUUCUCUGCAACCUUCUCACAUCCCCUUUCACUCUAACUUUGAAUAUAUGAGUCAGAGUCUAAGGGGAAUGGAUUUUUUCUGUAGAAAGGUGGAGUCCCUGCUUCCCACUGUCUUCUCUGUAUCCUCAGAUUCAAAUGUAUAAGGGCUGUUCAAAACCCACUAAUUUAAGCCCCAAAGAUUUACACACACA